This 164-nucleotide ribosomal RNA is filed under the name uncultured bacterium. Its description in RNAcentral is "partial 16S ribosomal RNA". It matches the Rfam family "Bacterial small subunit ribosomal RNA", at positions 355 to 507 of the family's 1533-position model. The record is from RNAcentral.
UAGGGAAUAUUGCUCAAUGGGCGAAAGCCUGAAGCAGCAACGCCGCGUGGGGGAUGAAGGUUCUCGGAUUGUAAACCCCUUUCGAUCGGAACGAAUCCCCUCCCUGGUAAAUAAUACAGGAGGAUUGACGGUACUCGAGAGAAGAAGCCACGGCUAACUCUGUG